GACACUAUGAGACUUGCUGAGGCUUCUGGGAAAGAAACUGAUGCUCCUUCCAGCUGAAUCUAAAUUCUGAGAAGCCAAGGGGGGUUGAAUGUACUGCAGCCAUUUUUCUUACAGUGUCAGCAACUGAAAUCUAUACAGGAAAAAGCACAGCUGAUUCAUAGGGAGAAACUGAGUCCUGAUGACAUCACCUGACCCUGAAUCCAGCUCUAGCUAGCGGUGCCUGGACUUCAAAGUUUGGUUUUACAGGCAAGAAUGGAGUCUCAGAAAGAACCUCUCCAAAUGGAACAAUGAUUGAGCUCACUUGGCACAAAAUGUAAAAUACUUUUGAAGAAUUCCAUCAUAGCUAGAUGGCUGGGUUGGUCCAGGACCAAAAGUAAAUGCUGGAAGAAAAAUGAAAUCAAUCUUUCCACUCCAAACCGCUGUCUGUGAUAGUAAAAGAACCACCAGACUACCUUGAAAUCAAGUCAUGAAAUAUAUUUGUAUUUUAAAAAUCAGUUGUAUUCCUCAAAUUAGCAUCUCUUGUUAAUGUAGUUAUGGUCUUCUUUGAUCUCAAAGACCAAUCCUUUGUUAACAGACCGACUAAGCAAAAGUAAACUGAUCAAAUAGCAGGAUGUCACAGUAGUAAACUAAAAUUUCUUCAAUCUAAAUUCAAGAUGAUUUCUCCAUCUCUGUCUUAUACAUUUGCCUUUUAGGAAAAAAACUCUACCACAUAAUUAACUUCGGUGGAAUGAAUCAGACUGCAUUUGGAAAGGUUGUAGAAGAGUGAUGAGUUAUGUUAAACAGUAUCAUUAUCUCCUUCGACAGAAAUUACUAACAUCCAUAACUGGUUCUUAAUCAGACCCCAAGAUAUCUUUACUUAUUAGACUAUAUAAACAAUAAAACUUAAAGGACAAAUAUAAUAAAAUACAUGUUUCUUUAUAUAACAAAACAAAAAUUUAAAUCAGAAGAACUACUAGAAAAAAAUUGUAUAUCGACAUUUUUUAAGUUAGUUAUUUGCCAUGAAUUCUUCUACUUUGUUUUCCUUGUAGAAAUUCCAUUACUAACCUGAAACUAGAAAGUAAAUACACUUUGGGAGGCCCAGGCAGGCAGAUUGCCUGAGCUCAGGAGUUCAAGACCAGCCUGGGCAACAUGGCAAAACUCCACCUCUAUUAAAAAUACAAAUAUUUAGCCAGGCAUGGUGGUGGGCGCCGUAGACCCAGCCACUUGGGAAGCCAGACACAAGAAUCACUUGAACCCGGGAGGCAGAGGUUGCAGUGGCGAUCACAACACUGAACUCCAGCCAGGAUGACAGAGUGAGACUUUGUCCCUCCAAAAAAACAUUUAUUGUGACCAAAUAAAGAAAAGCCAAAUUGACACCUUUUUUUUUUUGAGACGGAGUUUCACUCUUGUUGCCCAGGCUGGAGUGCAGUGACGCAACCUCCACCUCCCAGGUUCAUGAGAUUCUCCUGCCUCAGCAUCCCGAGUAGCUGGUAUGUGCCACCAUGCCUGGCUAAUUUUGUAUUUUUAAUAGAGACAGAGUUUCUCCAUGUUGGUCAGGCUGGUCGCAAUCUCCUGACCUCAGGUGAUCCACCUGCCUUGGCCUCCCAAAGUGCCAGGAUUACAGGCGUGAGCUACCACAUCCAGCCAAUACAUUAUUAAAAUAACCCAAGUGGGACCUGGUGCAGUGGCUCAUGCCUGUAAUCCCAGCAUUUUGGGAGGCCAAGGCGGGCGGAUCUCGAGGUCAGGAGUUUGAGACCAGCCUGAUCAACACGGUGAAACCCGUCUCCACUAAAAAUACAAAAAUUAGCCAGAUGUGGUGGCAUUCGCCUUUAAUCCGAGGUACUCAGGAGGCUGAGGCAGGAGAAUUGCUCGAACCCAGGAGACAGAGGUUGCAGUGAGCUGACAUCGAGCCACCGCACUCCACCUGGGUGACAGAGCGUGACUCUCUCUCAAAAAUAAGUAAAUGAAUUUUAAAAAAAAACAACCCAAGUGAAGAGGAAGAAAGCAUAUCAGAACAGGCCCCUCUUCCCCACUGAGCAGCAGGGCCCUGGUGAGCCAGUGAGGAUAAGCUGUGUCAUGCUUCCUUAGGGAGAAAAAGUAUUACUUUAGAGAUGGCACAAUCACUUUGAAAUGCCUAUAAAAUAAUGUCAAAACUCAUUACCAGAUAUCCGGGCCACCAAAAAUCUAGCUACAACCCCAGCACAGGCCCCAAGUCCACAGGCGUCCGAGACUCUGAUAACAUCGAUCCCUCUGCCCAGAACAUCCUUUCCUCGCCUCUCUCUGGACCUAAAUCCUACCCAGAUUUUAACCAACACUUCAAGAUCUAUUUCUCUAAGAUGCUCUCCUCCCAAAACUAAAAUAGCAUUACGUCCUAUAGAAUUAUUUGGCCUCUGAGUCAUCUAUUAUCUUGAAUUAAAUGUAUUGUGUAAAACGCCUUUCUGCCCAAUACAACUAUCUUAUAAAUUAGAGUCCAUUUUAUACCAUCUUUAUCCCAAUGGCAAACAUUCAAUUUACUAAAACCAUUCAAUAAAUAAAUAUCCCAAAGAUGACCUAAAAUAACCUAAAUGCCAAGCAUACCAAGAACUGUCCUGUUCCAAAUUCAGUUCUCAUUAGCAUGUCAAGUCCCAAAGAGGCAUGUUGUACUACCUUUAAGUUCAUCUGCAUUUAUCCAAAACUGGAAUCUAUAUGGUCCUAUAGUAUAUACAGGCAAAAUAUUCUGCAAAGUAGUUUUAUUCCCUGUACUGUACUUAAUAUUCAACCAGACUUGCACUUUUCUCUAAAACAUAAAAUUGCUGAGUAUGCAAGAAGCAUUAGAAGAGACUAAGCCUACAGAGAAGAAAACUAGAAACUAAAAUCAUCAACCAUGGUCUAUUUUGAAUAAUCACUUUCGUAGAGGUAAAUUCUCUGAAAUUCCAGAAUGGAAUUUAAUAUAGCAUAAAAUGUUUUAAAUACAUACAAGAAAUAUCUGAUGGGCCUUCUGCCAUCUGUUUUAGCGACUAAGAUUAACUAAAUUUUCUAAAAAUUAUAUCAACAGCUAAAAUUGAGAUUUUUUUUUUCUAUCUAUUAUUUUUCCUGAUCCAUUUUUCAGGAUUUCCAGCAAUUCUGGAGCUAGCCUUCUUAGUUUCAAGAAUUCCAAAUUAUUUCUUGAAGAGUUUGAGCCUCUUCCAAAUCAUUUAACAUGCUUAUUAAUCAAGAAAAAUAUGAAGAAACAAAACCCCAUACUUAAUACGCAAGCAGGCCAGGUGUGGCUCAUGCCUGUAAUCCCAGCACUUUGGGAGGCAGAGGCAGGCAGAUCACGAGAUCAGGAGUUCGAGACCAGCCCUACCAACAUGGUGAAACUGUAUCUCUACUAAAACUACAAAAAUUAGCCGGGCGUGGUGGCACUUGCUUGUAAUCCCAGCUACUUGGGAGGCUGAGGCAGGGAGAAUGACUUGGUGAGUGUCAAGGUCACACCACUGCACUCCAGCCUGGGCAACAGAGCAAGACUCCAUCUCAAAAAAAAAAAAAAAAAAAAAGCAAGCAAAU
This is a non-coding RNA of Callithrix jacchus (white-tufted-ear marmoset), 3504 nucleotides long. NCBI's taxonomy places the organism in Eukaryota, Metazoa, Chordata, Mammalia, Primates, Cebidae. The record is from RefSeq and is a predicted model, not a curated record.